Molecule: long non-coding RNA, 316 nt
Organism: Melitaea cinxia (Glanville fritillary)
Lineage: Eukaryota; Metazoa; Arthropoda; Insecta; Lepidoptera; Nymphalidae
Exons: 3
Source: RefSeq, a predicted model, not a curated record
UUUUGUAACCACUUUUCUACACUUCGCCUACUCACUUUUAGCAAAAUUGCCAAUCUUUCAGUGGAAUCGCCAGUUCUGAGUUUCAUAAGAUAAGCAGCCAAAGCUAAUGUUGCAUUUGGAAUUUCUAACAACUGAGGAACUUCAGUCCACAUCUGAUGGAACUGAGCUUUAUUCAAUCCAGUCCAUUAAAAGACUGUACAUAAUUGGACCUUAAACUGUCAAGAAAAUCCCAUGCUUCGAUAAUCAAAUGUUGACCACAAAGACGGUUAUUUUCAGUUUCAGAAGCUCUCAUGUAUUCUGGCAAUACAAUAGUAGG